AGAGUUUGAUCAUGGCUCAGGAUGAACGCUAGCUACAGGCUUAACACAUGCAAGUCGCGGGGCAGCAUGAAUUUAGCUUGCUAAAUUUGAUGGCGACCGGCGCACGGGUGAGUAACGCGUAUCCAACCUUCCCCUGUCCACGGGAUAGCCCGUCGAAAGGCGGAUUAAUACCGUAUGAGGUCACACGAUGGCAUCAGACUGUGACGAAAGGUUUGGCGGACAGGGAUGGGGAUGCGUCCGAUUAGCUUGUUGGCGGGGUAACGGCCCACCAAGGCAACGAUCGGUAGGGGUUCUGAGAGGAAGGUCCCCCACAUUGGAACUGAGACACGGUCCAAACUCCUACGGGAGGCAGCAGUGAGGAAUAUUGGUCAAUGGGCGAGAGCCUGAACCAGCCAAGUAGCGUGCAGGACGACGGCCCUACGGGUUGUAAACUGCUUUUAUGCGGGGAUAACGUGCACCACGUGUGGUGUAUUGCAGGUACCGCAUGAAUAAGGACCGGCUAAUUCCGUGCCAGCAGCCGCGGUAAUACGGAAGGUCCGGGCGUUAUCCGGAUUUAUUGGGUUUAAAGGGAGCGUAGGCCGCUGUUUAAGCGUGUUGUGAAAAACCGGGGCUCAACUCCGGUCGUGCAGCGCGAACUGGACGGCUUGAGUGCGCGGUAAGUGGGCGGAAUUUGUGGUGUAGCGGUGAAAUGCUUAGAUAUCACGAAGAACUCCGAUUGCGAAGGCAGCUCACUGUAGCGCAACUGACGCUGAAGCUCGAAAGUGCGGGUAUCGAACAGGAUUAGAUACCCUGGUAGUCCGCACGGUAAACGAUGGAUGCCCGCUGUUCCGACUAUUAGUUGGAGUGGCCAAGCGA
Molecule: ribosomal RNA, 855 nt
Filed under: uncultured bacterium
Lineage: Bacteria
Description: bacterial SSU rRNA
Rfam family: Bacterial small subunit ribosomal RNA
Source: RNAcentral